Zingiber officinale is the source of this 602-nucleotide long non-coding RNA. RefSeq lists it as uncharacterized. The record is from RefSeq and is a predicted model, not a curated record. Lineage: Eukaryota; Viridiplantae; Streptophyta; Magnoliopsida; Zingiberales; Zingiberaceae. The transcript has 2 exons.
CCGACCGAGGGAACAGAUUUACAUUUUAGAGCUCAAGAACAGCAAAAGAAAAUACAUAACUAGAUGCAGAAACUCAAGAUGGAAGAAGAAGAAGAAGAAGAAGAAGAAGCAGCAGCAGCAGGAGUAAUGUUGAUUAGUCCGUGUUCUCUCAUGCUAUACAUCAUCAGAUCCUGCGCUCAGUGCCUCGGCUGCUCAUCAACUACUUCUCCCACUGAAGAAAAUGAUCCCCAACCUCAAGAUCCUCAAGACCCUGACGCUGGUGGUGGAUCAAGAAUUAGUCCGAGCGCAGCACGUAGAAGGCCAACCCCGCCGCCAAUUAGUGGAGGAAGAGGAGGGCAGCACCACUAGUUCAUGUAACUAAGUCAUUAAUUAUCGCAUGCAUGAUCGGUGUUAAUUUGCAGAGUUUAAGUUACAGGCUUAGCCGUUAGUUUCAGUUCAGGAGCAAAAUGUUUAAGGAAUAUGGUCAGAGUAAUGGCUUGGGAGCUGCUUAAUUGACAGUGUUUUAUUGUUGUAUGCCUCUACUUCGGAAAACCUCUGUUUCUCUAAUUUGUCUGUUAGUUGUUCUUAAAUGAUGGAUUUUGUAGUUAUGUAAGCAUUACCAA